Molecule: ribosomal RNA, 497 nt
Filed under: uncultured bacterium
Lineage: Bacteria
Description: partial 16S ribosomal RNA
Rfam family: Bacterial small subunit ribosomal RNA
Source: RNAcentral
GAUGAACGCUGGCGGCGUGCCUAAUACAUGCAAGUCGAGCGAACAGACGAGGAGCUUGCUCCUCUGACGUUAGCGGCGGACGGGUGAGUAACACGUGGAUAACCUACCUAUAAGACUGGGAUAACUUAGGGAAACCGGAGCUAAUACCGGAUAAUAUAUUGAACCGCAUGGUUCAAUAGUGAAAGACGGUUUUGCUGUCACUUAUAGAUGGAUCCGCGCCGCAUGAGCUAGUUGGUAAGGUAAUGGCUUACCAAGGCAACGAUGCGUAGCCGACCUGAGAGGGUGAUCGGCCACACUGGAACAGAGACACGGUCCAGACUCCUACGGUAGGCAGCAGUAGAGAAUCUUCCGCAAUGGGCGAAAGCCUGACGGAGCAACGCCGCGGAAGUGAUGAAGGUCUUCGGAUCGUAAAACUCUGUUAUUAGGGAAGAACAAAUGUGUAAGUAACUAUGCGCGUCUUGACGGUACCUAAUCAGAAAGCCACGGCUAACUACGUG